Molecule: long non-coding RNA, 2847 nt
Filed under: Homo sapiens (human)
Lineage: Eukaryota; Metazoa; Chordata; Mammalia; Primates; Hominidae
Description: non-protein coding lnc-CLK3-1:1
Source: RNAcentral
AGAUCCACUACAGGCUGCGCCUCUGCCCCUGCGAGGGGCACCCCUGGGUCUCUGGGAAACGGAAUGGAGGGUCUUAUGGAAGAGAAGGUUUGGAACCACCGCUGGAGGGAAGGGGAGAAGAAAGCAAGCAGGAGUGGCGCGAACAGGAAGGGACUAGGGAUAGAAGCCGGGCUUGGACACAGUGAGGCACGAACCCCGACAGACACAGAGACAGACAAGGGGUGCUGAUCUCCUCACUGGGCGGGGUGGGCAGGAAAAGGAACAGGAGCUGGAGCUAGAGCGAGGGCUGCGAGCGGCGAGUGGAUACCCGGCCUCAGGGAGGAGCUUCCAGGAGGGCAGGGGUCUCCUUUGGAGCAGCACCGGGGACGUUUGCUCGGCAAGGGCUUUUUGUGCGAAGUAACCGAAGCCAGUCAGGCUAAUGGCGGCAGAGAGAAGGAUUUAUUCUUGCACCCAGGGUGUGCGGAGGAGCCCAAGGGCAUUUGGACCUGUGUUGACGUCCGGAAGGGCCCGGAACCCAGGAAGCUCUGCCCGCAGAGGGUAUUCCUCUCCCUCUGAAGACCACCUCAAAGCUCAACUUUAUCACCUCCACGCAUGAGACCGCCGGCGGCUGAACUAAAAUCUCACCAUCCCAAUUCCAGUUUCUGGGAAUUGUCACCUCCAUUCGCUCUCAUUAGAAAUCCAGCUUUUUUCACGAGGUGAAUAACAGGGCAGUUGACAGUUCCCAAGUUUUCUGUGUCCAAUCUUCAGCCCUGGAGGGACUCUUCUGCUCCAAGUCCAGCGAUCCCGGGAGGGGGCCCACUGGUCCAGUACGGCUCAGUACCCAGCCCUGGAUCCACCAGCUGACGCUGGAAGGAGUGGGUCAUGAAGAACUCAGCACGAACGCAGCUGGGUACGAAUUCCCAGAGAUGUCCUGUCCCUCCACGGUACCAAGGACCCCUCCUUUAAGAAACUGCUUCACUGAAGGCGCAGAUGGAGGGAGGGAUCGGCAACAGAGUUCAGAGGGGUUCCGGGGGCACAUGGCUCAGCCGGAGGAAGCAGGCUGAGGCAGGAGAGUCGCUUGAACCCAGGAGGCAGAGGUUGUGGUGAGCCGAGAUCACGCCAUUGCACUCCAGCCUGGGCAACAAGAGCAAAACUCCAUCUCAAAAAAAAAAAAAAAAAAGGCUUUGGGACUAAAGCCCGUAUGCAGCCGCCCCUGGGCACAUAUACGUGGUUUUAUGACUUUGGUACUGACUCAGCCUAACUGGACCCCAGAUACAGGAGAAACUGAGAAGGACGGAGAACAUAAGCACUGUCCCCGGUGCACUGUGUCCCAUGUCAUCCUCACAUCAAUCCUGUGUCAUAGGGUCCCUGCACAGUUUGCCUGCACAGGGCUGGGCCCGCAAAGCCUCGCUCCCCAACGCACUUGUUUCAUCACUUCAAUUGAGCCUGCAUCCUGCUCCUGUGGCUGACUGGGGAGGGGCCAGCUGCAUCCCCAUCUAGGGGCCCUGCUCCCCCAUCCUCUCAUGCCUGCAGAAACCUUCACCCUGGCUCUUGGGUUUGGGCAGGUCCAGCCUGCAGAGGGGAGCGGAUCUCCUCCUGGGCCCUGGCCUGCCCUCCCUGGCUGGCAUGUGGACUAGGGGCCUGGGGGCUCACUGGAUGGUGCCCGCCCAGACUCACGGCAGCUCCUCCUGCGUGCACUCUGGCCUGUGCAGCUGUGUAAGGGUCCUGCGGUUACAUGAUGGGAAAAGCAAGAGGGAGCAUCUGGGGCCCUGAAGUCCCAAGUCACACCCAAACCAAACCACCCAGCCAGGAAGAUAGCAGGAAGCAAAUUGGAGGCGUUCUGGGUUGAACUGUAUCCCCAGCAACAACAACAAAAAGAUAUAUUGACAUCCCCAGUACCUCCUAAUGAGACAGAAUCAUUACAGAGGUAAUCAGACUAAAAUGAAGUCAAUAGGCUGGGCUUUCAUCCAAGGUGACUAUACAAAGGGGAAAUGUGGACACGGGCACACACAGAGGGAGACACCACGCGGACAUCCUGGAGGAAUGUCAAAGCCUGCUGGCAAAGCACCAGAAGCUGGGGACAAGGCCUAGAACAGACCCUCCCUCACAGGCCUCAGGAGGAACCAACCCUGCCGACACCCUGACCUGAACUUCAGCCUUCAGAACCAAGAGACAAUGAAUGCCUGCCAUUGAAGCUACCGUCUUCAGCACUUUGUUAUCACAGCCCUAGCAAACUCACAGAGGACCCUAUCCAGCUGCUGCCCCAUCUCCAAGAGCCUCGCCCUGCUGGAAGUGCACUGCUAGUCUGGUUCAUCAGCCACUCUGCACAGGACCCCUGCCCAGGACCCAGGGUCUGCAUUUUAGGCCAUCCUUGCUGGAUAGGCCCAGAGCCCAGGGUCCCCACCUGCCUGUAGAAGGGCAACUGCCAGCCGGUGCCAGCGUGCCUUCCAAUAUUCAGCCAUCUCCUCAUGAAGCCUGGGAUGUGAUUCUUGUGCCUCUAGCUCUUUCCUGAGGGGCACUGGUACCUCCAGGACCUGGAGUGUACUGGAAGAAAUGGUGCAGUCCAGGUACAGCAUGGACCCCAGAUCACCCCCACCCCACUCCCUUUCAGUGAUUAUUGUCUUAUGAACUAGGAGGGGGAGUGGGGCAGAGAUGCCUCUUUCAUGGCUCCCUGCACACACAGAACCCCUUUGUACUGGGCACUUCUACUCCCAAGGACCCUGACUUGCACCCAGCAGCUAAGGUCAUCUCACCCCCACCUCCCACCUGCCCCUGGGCCAGCAGGAGGGGCUUGGCCAUAUGUAGGCGAGACAGGACUUCUUGAAGCUGAAAGAUUUCCCACCCCAUAAAAGAGCCAGAAUGUGACAA